Long non-coding RNA from Myotis brandtii (Brandt's bat), 2678 nucleotides. RefSeq lists it as uncharacterized. The record is from RefSeq and is a predicted model, not a curated record. The transcript is spliced from 2 exons. Lineage: Eukaryota; Metazoa; Chordata; Mammalia; Chiroptera; Vespertilionidae.
UCUGCUGGGCUUAGGCAGGUGAACUCAGGUCAAGCCAGAGCCCCGCCGCGGCCACGCAGCCUGUGCGUGAUGUCCGAGUAACAGUGGACGCCGCAGGAUUUGUGCAGGAUCUCGUCCAGCUCUUGCUUGCGCGGGGAGAGAUACCGGCGUAGGUAGGUUUCAGCGAAGCCAUUAUUGCGAAGGUAUAGAUGUGAAAAGCAGCAGAAACCAAACCCCCAACAGCACGGAUUUCCCCUCCGCGUCCCCCCAAGGUCCCCUUUUCUAUUUAUGUGUGCGCGUAUGUACAUACAAAAGAUGGAACACAGAUUUCAUUGAAUAAAUCUGAGGUCUCCAGGUGCAGACGUCUGCAGGGUCGGUGCCAGCACCCCGUGUUUCCCUUUCCUGCCGAUUUUGCUUGGAUCCGGCUCAAAAACCCAGAGUCUCGUGGUUUUGUUUACACUGAAUGGGGAGGAUAGGAACAGAGCCAUGGGCCGUCUUUCAUUAAUAUACAGUGAGGAUUUUGUCUAAAUUACUGCUAUGAAUUUCACAGUGCACGCUUUCAAAAGCAGUCUCAGGUGGCCUGAUGAAACGCGAUAGCGCCUCUGCAAACAGAUCCGCUUUCUUUCUGCUCCAGGAGGGCGUGCGUGCUGUGGGAAGCCCCCGAACGCAGCGCUCCUCCGUCAGAGAAAUACACUGCUACUCUGAGGUUCGUCCCCGCCGUCCCCCCUUUUCUCCUACUUAGUUCUCCAGUCGCUCCCGAGCCUCCCCCAGCCUCACUCCACUUGCCCCCUCCCUCUGCGAGUGUGAUUGUUUUGUCUGGAAAAAAAAAUCCAAAGUAUAUAACAAGGGGAGAACAGUUAGUGCUGAUUUUCAUUUGCAUACAUUUUCAUAUAUUUUGGUGAAAAUAAUAGACUAGUGGAGAGCUGGGCUCGGAGGAGUCAGUGUGAAGGGAAGGCUAAGGAUGCAUCGUUCUGGGGAGUUGAGAAUAUGCCUUCACCGCCUCCAGUCACUUGAUUGAAAAAAAAAUCUCUUAUUUUAAAAUCUAACCCCGGAAGUUUGUUGGGUCAUGGAGCUCCACCCGAUAGCUCAGUGCAUCGCGUGGAGUGGUUGCGCCACUGUCCCCGGAGUUGGAUGUCAGGAGGUACGGAGCCCGGCGUGGCAUUUACCACUUUCAGAGCUGGCAGCCUGGCCGAGGAGACGGGACAAGUACUCGGGAAGCAAUCCCUGUAGCUGCUAAACUGGGAUUGUGCUGAGGACACCAAAGAGGCCCGCCCUCUGGCUCCUCCCUUCAGAUUGGAGCAGCGGUACUGCGCUCACCUGCUUUGUGCACGUCCUUCUCGCACAGCGAGUGAGGAGCUGAAUGGGAACAUUUAGAAGCAAAAACAAAAAUGCGUUUGGAUGUUUCUGGGCUCCAGAGCCAGCAAGGAAGGAAGGAUUGGACUUGUGGUGUCGGUGCCCCCGAGGCCCGGCCGCCCCCUCUGGCGCCCACAACGCUGUAGGGCGGUGGGGAUCCUGGGCCAGAGGUCUUGGUCUUCCCAUCAAAGAUAGAGUCUGCACAAGGCUCCGCACCCAGACAGCCCUAGGAAACUUCCUACUAAGAGAGGCGUCUAGAAACGUGUGGUGGACAGCCAGCUUCCCCAAAGCCCCUUUCACUUUCUCCUUAGACAUGAAGCCAACUAGCUAGAGACUCACUUCAGGACAGAGACUAAGUUAUUGCCUCUGAAAUGUGAGUAGAAGUGAUAUGUGCAGCUUCUACUUCCUGUUUUAACUGGAAAUCGCUCUUCCUAGACUUCCUGUGGUCUGGGACCUGGAUGUGCUGGUGACGCCAUUAAACCAGGCAGCGGAGCAGACGAGCAGCCCUGGAGGGAGGUCUGGCCUCUUCUUCUCGGAGAAACAGGCCAGCCCGCAGCCGGGCCAGCUCCAGGGCGUUCCAAGAAAGGGAAGGCAGUCCAGUCUUGAGAGCCACUGUAUUUUGGGAUCUGUUGGAUCAAAGAGCAAAGUUUUUUACCUUGAAAAAUAUAGACCAUGUCUGGGCGUGGAAGUAGAGCACUGGCUGCAAGUCAGUAGCUCGCAUCCCUUCAUCCUCCCCUGCUGUCCUUCCUCCCGCACAUGUUUAUUGAGCAUCAACUCUGUCUGAGCAACAUGAAGCUGCCGGUGAUGGUAAGCAACAGAGCCAUGGCCCUCUCCUCCUGAAGCCGGCAUCCUCGUAGGGCAGACAGACAGAAACAAGCAGGCAGACUAAUUAAAACACCCACAGACCUGCUUUCUGGAGAAAGAACUGGGAAAAGGUAACAAUUUCUUUCCACAGGCUACAGUAGUCCUGGCAGGGGAGGCUGGGAAAAUGUACAAAAAAUCACAGCAGAAUUUCUCUAAUCACAUAGUAUUUGAAUUCAAUGAAAAAUAAUAAGUCUCAGGAGUUUUAAGAGUUAGGAAGCGGGUUUCUGAGGCACCAUGCUGUCCACUUCCGAGCGUGCUGGAAAUGCUGGUUUGGAGGUUAGUGGUGCUGUCAUCCAGGCAACACCUGGAGUGUGGGUUGCGGGUGAGCUGUUGAAAGGGGUCUCCGAGCCCCCGCGCACCGCAGUUCUGUGGGCUGUGAGUGGUGUGGCCUUGGGAAUUUCUGGUUUAGAGAUAGUAAAGCAGGAAAUUGAAAUAUUUUAAUUCAUAAAACUUCCCAGACCAUUAAAGCUACCUAUUCUGAA